RNAcentral lists this ribosomal RNA (253 nucleotides) under uncultured bacterium. Its description in RNAcentral is "partial 16S ribosomal RNA". It matches the Rfam family "Bacterial small subunit ribosomal RNA", at positions 524 to 776 of the family's 1533-position model. The record is from RNAcentral.
GACGUAGGGCGCGAGCGUUGUCCGGAUUUAUUGGGCGUAAAGAGCUCGUAGGCGGCUCGUUGCGUCGGCUGUGAAAACCCGCAGCUCAACUGUGGGCUUGCAGCUGAUACGGGCGGGCUGGGAUUCGGUAGGGGAGACUGGAAUUCCUGGUGUAGCGGUGAAAUGCGUAGAUAUCGAGAGGAACACCUGCGGCGAAGGCGGGUUGCUGGGCUGAUACUGACGCUGAGGCGCGAAAGCCAGGGGAGCGAACGGG